UUGGUUCUCCCGCAACGCUAACCUGUGAACUCGGUCAGGUCCGGAAGGAAGCAGCCGCAGCAGGCGUCGCGUGUGCCGGGAUGUAGCUGG
This 90-nucleotide signal recognition particle RNA is filed under the name Leminorella grimontii. RNAcentral's name for it is "Bacterial small signal recognition particle RNA". It matches the Rfam family "Bacterial small signal recognition particle RNA". Rfam says of the family: The signal recognition particle (SRP) is a universally conserved ribonucleoprotein involved in the co-translational targeting of proteins to membranes. Archaeal SRP consists of a 7S RNA and homologues of the eukaryotic SRP19 and SRP54 proteins. The record is from RNAcentral. Lineage: Bacteria; Pseudomonadati; Pseudomonadota; Gammaproteobacteria; Enterobacterales; Budviciaceae.